This 359-nucleotide ribosomal RNA is filed under the name uncultured bacterium. RNAcentral describes it as "partial 16S ribosomal RNA". It matches the Rfam family "Bacterial small subunit ribosomal RNA", at positions 338 to 694 of the family's 1533-position model. The record is from RNAcentral.
CCUACGGGUGGCAGCAGUGAGGAAUAUUGGUCAAUGGGCGCGAGUCUGAACCAGCCAAGUAGCGUGAAGGCUGACUGCCCUACGGGUUGUAAACUUCUUUUAUAUAGGAAUAAAGUGUUCCACGUGUGGGAUUUUGUAUGUACCAUAUGAAUAAGGAUCGGCUAACUCCGUGCCAGCAGCCGCGGUAAUACGGAGGAUCCGAGCGUUAUCCGGAUUUAGUGGAUUUACAGGGAGCGUAGGUGGGUUGUUAAGUCAGUUGUGAACGUUUGCGGCUCAACCGUAAAAUUGCAGUUGAUACUGGCAGGCUGGGUUACCGUAGAGGUGGGCGGAAUACGUGGUGGAGCGGUGAAAUGCUUAGA